RNAcentral lists this ribosomal RNA (109 nucleotides) under Chinchilla lanigera (long-tailed chinchilla). The record is from RNAcentral. Lineage: Eukaryota; Metazoa; Chordata; Mammalia; Rodentia; Chinchillidae.
GUCCAGGCCCACACCACCCUGAACACACCCAAUCUCUUCUCAUCUCAGAAGCUAGGCAGGGUCAGGCCUGGUUAGUCCUUGGAUGGGAGAACAGCUGGCAUUCAGAAAA